UACGGAGGGAGCUAGCGUUGUUCGGAAUUACUGGGCGUAAAGCGCACGUAGGCGGCUUUGUAAGUUAGAGGUGAAAGCCCGGGGCUCAACCCCGGAAUUGCCUUUAAGACUGCAUCGCUUGAAUCCGGGAGAGGUGAGUGGAAUUCCGAGUGUAGAGGUGAAAUUCGUAGAUAUUGGGAAGAACACCGGUGGCGAAGGCGGCGCUCUGGACCGAGACUGACGCUGAGGCGCGAAAGCGUGGGGAGCAAACAGG
This 253-nucleotide ribosomal RNA is filed under the name uncultured bacterium. Its description in RNAcentral is "partial 16S ribosomal RNA". It matches the Rfam family "Bacterial small subunit ribosomal RNA", at positions 524 to 776 of the family's 1533-position model. The record is from RNAcentral.